CCUACGGGAGGCAGCAGUGAGGAAUAUUGGUCAAUGGGCGGGAGCCUGAACCAGCCAAGUCGCGUGAGGGAAGAAGGUACUGAGUAUUGUAAACCUCUUUUGCCAGGGGACAAAGGCGGCGACGGGUGGCCGUAAGAGGGUACCUGGAGAAAAAGCAUCGGCUAACUCCGUGCCAGCAGCCGCGGUAAUACGGAGGAUGCGAGCGUUAUCCGGAUUUAUUGGGUUUAAGGGGUGCGCAGGCGGCGUUUCAAGUCAGCGGUAAAAUGUCGGGGCUCAACCCCGGACUGCCGUUGAAACUGGCGGGCUCGAGUUGGAGAGAGGUAUGCGGAAUGCGUGGUGUAGCGGUGAAAUGCAUAGAUAUCACGAAGAACCCCGAUUGCGAAGGCAGCAUGCCGGCUCCACACUGACGCUGAGGCACGAAAGCGUGGGUAUCGAACAGGAUUAGAUACCCGUGUAGUC
Molecule: ribosomal RNA, 459 nt
Filed under: uncultured bacterium
Lineage: Bacteria
Description: partial 16S ribosomal RNA
Rfam family: Bacterial small subunit ribosomal RNA
Source: RNAcentral